CUCGUAGGCGGUUCGUCGCGUCCGGUGUGAAAGUCCAUCGCUUAACGGUGGAUCCGCGCCGGGUACGGGCGGGCUUGAGUGCGGUAGGGGAGACUGGAAUUCCCGGUGUAACGGUGGAAUGCGUAGAUAUCGGGAAGAACACCAAUGGCGAAGGCAGGUCUCUGGGCCGUUACUGACGCUGAGGAGCGAAAGCGUGGGGAGCGAACA
RNAcentral lists this ribosomal RNA (207 nucleotides) under uncultured bacterium. RNAcentral describes it as "partial 16S ribosomal RNA". It matches the Rfam family "Bacterial small subunit ribosomal RNA", at positions 568 to 774 of the family's 1533-position model. The record is from RNAcentral.